Molecule: long non-coding RNA, 2016 nt
Organism: Oncorhynchus keta (chum salmon)
Lineage: Eukaryota; Metazoa; Chordata; Actinopteri; Salmoniformes; Salmonidae
Exons: 12
Source: RefSeq, a predicted model, not a curated record
GGAGGCAGGUAGCCUAGUGGUUUAGGGAGGCGGCAGGUAGUCUAGUGGUUUAGGGAGGCGGCAGGUAGUCUAGUAGUUUAGAGGGGCAGCAGGUAGUCUAGUGGUUUAGAGAGGCGGCAGGUAGUCUAGUGGUUUAGGGAGGCGGCAGGUAGUCUAGUAGUUUAGAGGGGCAGCAGGUAGUCUAGUGGUUUAGAGAGGCGGCAGGUAGCCUAGUGGUUAGAGGGGCGGCAGGUAGCCUACUGGUUUAGAGGGGCGGCAGGUAACCUAGUGGUUUAGAGAGGAGGCAGGUAGCCUAGUGGUUUAGAGGGGUGGCAGGUAGCCUAGUAGUUUAGAGGGGUGGCAGGUAACCUAGUGGUUUAGAGGGGAGGCAGGUAACCUAGUGGUUUAGAGGGGAGGCAGGUAACCUAGUGGUUAGAGGGGCGGCAGGUAGUCUAGUGGUUUAGAGGGGUGGCAGGUAGCCUAGUGGUUUAGAGAGGAGGCAGGUAGCCUAGUGGUUUAGAGGGGAGGCAGGUAGCCUAGUGGUUUAGAGAGGAGGCAGGUAGCCUAAUGGUUUAGAGGGGAGGCAGGUAGCCUAGUGGUUUAGAGGGGAGGCAGGUAGCCUAGUGGUUUAGAGAGGAGGCAGGUAGCCUAGUGGUUUAGAGGGGUGGCAGAGGGGUGGCAGGUAGCCUAGUGGUUUAGAGGGGAGGCAGGUAGCCUAGUGGUUUAGAGGGGAGGCAGGUAGCCUAGUGGUUUAGAGGGGAGGCAGGUAGCCUAGUGGUUUAGAGGGGAGGCAGGUAGCCUAGUGGUUUAGAGAGGAGGCAGGUAGCCUAGUGGUUUAGAGGGGUGGCAGAGGGGUGGCAGGUAGCCUAGUGGUUUAGAGGGGAGGCAGGUAGCCUAGUGGUUUAGAGGGGAGGCAGGUAGCCUAGUGGUUUAGAGGGGAGGCAGGUAGCCUAGUGGUUUAGAGGGGAGGCAGGUAGCCUAGUGGUUUAGAGGGGAGGCAGGUAGCCUAGUGGUUUAGAGGGGUGGCAGGUAGCCUAGUGGUUUAGAGGGGUGGCAGGUAGCCUAGUGGUUUAGAGGGGUGGCAGGUAGCCUAGUGGUUUAGAGGGGAGGCAGGUAGCCUAGUGGUUUAGAGGGGAGGCAGGUAGCCUAGUGGUUUAGAGAGGAGGCAGGUAGCCUAGUGGUUUAGAGGGGAGGCAGGUAGCCUAGUGGUUUAGAGAGGAGGCAGGUAGCCUAGUGGUUUAGAGAGGAGGCAGGUAGCCUAGUGGUUUAGAGGGGAGGCAGGUAGCCUAGUGGUUUAGAGGGGUGGCAGGUAGCCUAGUGGUUUAGAGGGGAGGCAGGUAGCCUAGUGGUUUAGAGGGGUGGCAGGUAGCCUAGUGGUUUAGAGGGGAGGCAGGUAGCCUAGUGGUUUAGAGGGGAGGCAGGUAGCCUAGUGGUUUAGAGGGGAGGCAGGUAGCCUAGUGGUUUAGAGGGGAGGCAGGUAGCCUAGUGGUUUAGAGGGGAGGCAGGUAGCCUAGUGGUUUAGAGGGGUGGCAGGUAGCCUAGUGGUUUAGAGGGGAGGCAGGUAGCCUAGUGGUUUAGAGGGGAGGCAGGUAGCCUAGUGGUUUAGAGGGGAGGCAGGUAGCCUAGUGGUUUAGAGGGGAGGCAGGUAGCCUAGUGGUUUAGAGGGGAGGCAGGUAGCCUAGUGGUUUAGAGGGGAGGCAGGUAGCCUAGUGGUUUAGAGAGGAGGCAGGUAGCCUAGUGGUUGAGAGAGGAGGCAGGUAGCCUAGUGGUUUAGAGGGGUGGCAGGUAGCCUAGUGGUUAGAGGGGUGGCAGGUAGCCUAGUGGGUUAGAGGGGUGGCAGGUAGCCUAGUGGUUUAGAGGGGCGGCAGGUAGCCUAGUGGUUUAGAGGGGAGGCAGGUAGCCUAGUGGUUUAGAGGUGGCAGGUAGCCUAGUGGUUUAGAGGUGGCAGGUAGCCUAGUGGUUUAGAGGGGUGGCAGGUAGCCUAGUGAUUAGAGGGGAGGGACGGCAGGUAGCCUAGUGGUUAGAGGGUUGGGCCAG